Molecule: non-coding RNA, 287 nt
Filed under: Fusarium sp.
Lineage: Eukaryota; Fungi; Ascomycota; Sordariomycetes; Hypocreales; Nectriaceae
Source: RNAcentral
GAGCAACCUCAACGGGGUCAACAAUAGCGCUCAGCUAUUAGUCCAGCGGCCAGCAUUUACGGGUGGCCGCGGGCGAGACAACCUGGUACGGGGGAGCCUAAGGACGCGAGUCUAUGGUAAUCCCGUGGCGAGCUCAGUGAGCCGUCGUAACGCGCGGUAAGGUGUCGGUCUCGGGGGGCAACCCCCGGGGCUUAAGGUACGUGCUAACCCCAGGCGAAAGCCUGUGCCCAGAGAGAGUGCCCGUAGCACAAACUCUGGGCAGGCCACACUAGUGGUCGGUAUGAUUG